RNAcentral lists this long non-coding RNA (1875 nucleotides) under Nilaparvata lugens (brown planthopper). Its description in RNAcentral is "uncharacterized LOC120353787, transcript variant X2". Lineage: Eukaryota; Metazoa; Arthropoda; Insecta; Hemiptera; Delphacidae. The record is from RNAcentral.
UAGUUUGAUGACAAUGAUAGUGAUGAUGAUUGAUGAUAGUAUAGGUGAUGUGCUGUGAAUUAGCAAUCUUGAGAUAAAUUUAUAUUUGCUUGGAAGCUUAGUUAUAGAUUUCAAUGACUUUGAAGCCGAUAUUUUUGUAGUUGAAUUCGUCAAAGUACUGUUGAUUGUGAAAUAAACGUGUUGGGAGUUUACUUGACCCAAGCUGUGGUGGGUGUUGUGAGGUUGGGCUGUUUUUUAAUUGAAUUCAAUAUUUCGGCUGAUAUUUGACAAUUUUUACUAUUUUAAAAGCUAUUUUAACAGAAUUAAAGAUUUUUGAAGAAGUUAUAGUUCAGGUUUUUGAGAUUUCUAUCAUUGCGUUUUUGAAUGUAGGUACUUCGUGUGGAAAAUACCAAAAUAGGGGUGAGUCUCGAACCCAAAACCGCCCUUACUUCUCCUUUGUUAUUCGUCUUCAAAUUUCAAAUUUGACCAGUUUGUGUUGUGUUGAAGCCAGUCGACUUGUUGAAUGUUGUCGGAUGAAUGGAUAAAUUUAGUCGUUAUUAAGUGAUUUUAUUUUAUCAAUUACAGUGUAUCUACAAUAUUAUUCGCGUGCUAAAAUGUGUUGAGUAGUAGGCCUAUAGUUUAGUUUGCAGUUUAAUAUUUACUUGGAUUUUGAAAUUAUAAACGGUGACUGAACGUUUAAAAGCACUCAUUGUUCAAGGAAUGAAGAGAUCAGUUUGGUUGUGGUGAGGACAUGGAAUGUUGGAGUUUGCAGCUUGGCAUACUGAUUCACUCCUGUCAUGGACCACAGCUUUCAAGUAUGGCUCUUGACAGUGGACAAAACGGACUUCGCAGCCACAGAACAACAUGAGUCUCUUCUCUUCUGCUUCUGCUACAACGUCAUCUUCUUCUUCUGCUACUACUGAUACAGCUACUGUUACUGCUUCUACUGAUACUGCUACUGCUGCUACUGUUGCUGAUGCUUCUUCUGUGCUGAGAAAUCCACACUUUUGGACCUUAGUAGCUGAUUGCUGAUAAUUGCAGUAAUAAGGUGUUACAUCUGUGAGUUCACUUAGAUUAUGAUGAUUAUCUUUUUCUGCUCCUUUUUUUUCUUCUUAUUACUAACAAAUUUUGUAUUGAUAUAGGGUGAUUGUUUAUUGCAUUGUUAUAGCCAAUAUUAGUUUCAUUUAGUAGACUAUAAUAAUAUGAAAUCUUUCACAUGACAUUCAAAAAUUUGGAGGAUUCAAAGCAAGAAUUUUUCUCUCUUAUUCAUGAAAUGGAGGUGCAAUAUUCAAGCAUAGACAUUUAGUAAUAGAAAAAAGUCGGUGGAGUUAUGCAGAGCUUGAGGUACGUUUAGACGUGUAAACAAUUGUAGAUUAAUUUGUAUGAGAUUUAAGGGUGAUUAUAGAAAGAUUGGAAUCGAAUAUAUUUCAGCUCAUAGAAAAUGAUUGAAUAAGGAGAUUGAUCAUAAUUGUGAUUUUGACAUGUAUCUCAUGCAAAUGUAUUUUAUAUUUGUAUACAAGUCUUGACGUACCUUGAAAUGUAUAAUUGGAGAAGUGGAGCUGUGCAUGUAUACUAAGGUAGGUGAUCACCUCAUCGUGGAACACAUGCCGCCGAUUUUCCAGAUCUCCGAAUCACCGCCACCUGCCUAUUUAUCUAUUAACUAUAUUACAACGAAACAGUCUACAACUAUUGGACCAGAGAUACAUAGACAUUAGACAAAGUUUUAUGCAGAACAAUAUUGUUAGGUAGUUGAGACCUUUACACGAAUGUACAAAUUUACAAAAUUAUUAUAAUGAGGUCCUCGUUAUAAUGGUAGUAUUUGAUUAACAUUGGUGUUGCUAACCUUGUCUAUCAUUCGACAAAGCAGAUAGUGCCAUCCUUUUCUAGCUCUGCAAC